CGCUGCUCAGAGCAAAGCCGCCGAAAGGCGGUGACGCAGAGUCACGGGACUAACGCGACAGUUUGUCGCCACGUCAGCCGGGCCGCCAGC
RNAcentral lists this non-coding RNA (90 nucleotides) under Nitrospirota bacterium. Its description in RNAcentral is "Nitrospirae bacterium c-di-GMP sequence". It matches the Rfam family "c-di-GMP-I riboswitch aptamer". Rfam says of the family: GEMM was predicted in a large-scale screen for bacterial structured RNA regulatory elements. Genes associated with GEMM are involved in a diverse array of functions, including chemotaxis regulation, signal transduction, secretion and chitin. Lineage: Bacteria; Pseudomonadati; Nitrospirota. The record is from RNAcentral.